Molecule: ribosomal RNA, 399 nt
Filed under: uncultured bacterium
Lineage: Bacteria
Description: partial 16S ribosomal RNA
Rfam family: Bacterial small subunit ribosomal RNA
Source: RNAcentral
AAUAUUGCACAAUGGAGGGAACUCUGAUGCAGCAACGCCGCGUGGGUGAAGAAGGUUUUCGGGUCGUAAAAUCCUGUCAUUGGGGAAGAAUAAAUGACGGUACCCAAUGAGGAAGCCCCGGCUAAAUACGUGCCAGAAGCCGCGGCAAUACGUAGGGGGCGAGCGUUGUCCGGAAUUACUGGGCGUAAAGGGUACGUAGGCGGCUGGAUAAGUCAGGUGUGAAAUACCAGUGCUUAACACUGGAAUUGCAUUUGAAACUGUGUAGCUUGAGUGCAGGAGAGGAAAGUGGAAUUCCUAGUGUAGCGGUGAAAUGCGUAGAGAUUAGGAGGAACACCAGUGGCGAAGGCGACUUUCUGGACUGUAACUGACGCUGAGGUACGAAAGCGUGGGUAGCGAACA